RNAcentral lists this ribosomal RNA (727 nucleotides) under uncultured Pseudomonadales bacterium. Its description in RNAcentral is "bacterial SSU rRNA". It matches the Rfam family "Bacterial small subunit ribosomal RNA", at positions 36 to 758 of the family's 1533-position model. The record is from RNAcentral. Lineage: Bacteria; Pseudomonadati; Pseudomonadota; Gammaproteobacteria; Pseudomonadales.
CUGGCGGCAGGCCUAACACAUGCAAGUCGAGCGGAUGAGAAGAGCUUGCUCUUCGAUUCAGCGGCGGACGGGUGAGUAAUGCCUAGGAAUCUGCCUGGUAGUGGGGGACAACGUUUCGAAAGGAACGCUAAUACCGCAUACGUCCUACGGGAGAAAGCAGGGGACCUUCGGGCCUUGCGCUAUCAGAUGAGCCUAGGUCGGAUUAGCUAGUUGGUGAGGUAAUGGCUCACCAAGGCGACGAUCCGUAACUGGUCUGAGAGGAUGAUCAGUCACACUGGAACUGAGACACGGUCCAGACUCCUACGGGAGGCAGCAGUGGGGAAUAUUGGACAAUGGGCGAAAGCCUGAUCCAGCCAUGCCGCGUGUGUGAAGAAGGUCUUCGGAUUGUAAAGCACUUUAAGUUGGGAGGAAGGGCAUUAACCUAAUACGUUAGUGUUUUGACGUUACCGACAGAAUAAGCACCGGCUAACUCUGUGCCAGCAGCCGCGGUAAUACAGAGGGUGCAAGCGUUAAUCGGAAUUACUGGGCGUAAAGCGCGCGUAGGUGGUUUGUUAAGUUGGAUGUGAAAGCCCCGGGCUCAACCUGGGAACUGCAUCCAAAACUGGCAAGCUAGAGUACGGUAGAGGGUGGUGGAAUUUCCUGUGUAGCGGUGAAAUGCGUAGAUAUAGGAAGGAACACCAGUGGCGAAGGCGACCACCUGGACUGAUACUGACACUGAGGUGCGAAA